Molecule: non-coding RNA, 1822 nt
Organism: Meleagris gallopavo (turkey)
Lineage: Eukaryota; Metazoa; Chordata; Aves; Galliformes; Phasianidae
Source: RefSeq, a predicted model, not a curated record
GGCGGCGGCAGCUGGCAUUGCUGGGCUGUGUGCAGGGGAUGAAUGGGGACCGACUGUGUGGGCACAGCAACUUAAAGGGUUUUCAGAACUUCGGAGGAGGACACAGUCCUCCAGCUAGGAACUGCUACAGACCUGACAGGUGUAUGGGAGGCCAGCAAGCAGCUGCUGUGGGUCAGUCUUCAUGGAAGAUUACAGCUGGAAGCUGUGCAACCAGAGCUCGACCAGCAGUAGUGAAGGGUCUCCAACCAGGUGGUCUUCACCUCCUCAGAACUGGACAGAAACUUUUGGAAUUCAUAUAUCUCAGCCUAAAUGAGCCAACGCAUCUGAAAAAUUGCCCUGAGGAAGGCAUGUGGGUGGUUUUCUGUUGAGUGACCAGAUUCAGUGCAUGGGACCAUGGCUGCCAGGUCAGAAAAGGGGGAGCAGGGCUGCAGCUCGUGGCAGCUCUACCCAUGCAGCUCCCUUUUCCCUCCCCAUGGCAUGUGUGGCUGUGCAGAACUCACUGACCACACUCAGGGAGAUAAAGCAACCAACAGAGAAUAACAUCAGCGUCUGGCUUGGCUAGUUUAUCUCUCUGACUCAAAGUGGAAGUCUUAACUGGAUUCACCAGUGGUUCAAUGAGCUGAGCUGUACCCCAAAGCCAUCCCUCCAGUGUGGCCGGGCUCAGGUGGAGCAGAGUGGGACCACAGCAAGACCUGCAGUGCCAGCCAGUGGGAGGACACCAAUGAUGAUGACGAGAUGUGCAAUGAACUGGAUGUGUCACCUGCCUGGGAUGAGAAGCCAGGUCAAGGUUUCACCAGUGAUACAAGAAAGGCUGCAGGCAGACAUGCAUAAGCACAUUGUAUUUCUAUAAAUAUUACUUGAUAUAAGAAGACAUCUCGUUAUGAGGCUUGACUCUUGCUUGUCUAAGCAAAGGAAUGCUGGAUGGGGGACAGCAUGUGCUCGUUGAGGCAAUGAGAUUGCUCAUCUGUGAGUGUCCCUGAGAAAGCCCUGGGUGACACAGAGAUUCUUUUAUUCCUCUGCUACCACAGACCAAAACAAGUGUAAAUACCUCUCCAGUUCAAAGUAUUACUUCUUGCUGUUUUAAUAACAAAGUUCACUGCAUAAUUUGGUUCUAUGCUCCUUAUUCACUAUCAGCGAAUCCAAAAGCAAAGUAGGAAAGGGGUGAAAGGCUAGAAGUGCAAAGAGAAGUUGCUUACAGCUGACGUUUAUUUCAUGUCAUUAAACCUUCAUUUUCAGUGCCACUAAUCCUUCAUUUUGAUGACAACUUCAAAGAUCGCUUGUAAUUAUAUUUUAAUGAAAAAGCUGAAUCCAGAGAUGUAGAUGCAAAAGGGCAAUUGCCUACUGUGCAUUGCGUUUAGAAGGGACAAUUAACUGUACAUUUCAGGGGUGGAUUGAAAGGAUGAAUUUUAACGGUGACAGAGUUUAACGAUCAGGAAAACCUUGGUUAAAAAAAAAACAAACUGCCUGCUAUUUUAAUUUCCAUUUUACAAUGGGUCCUUACAGUUAUUUCAGUUCUUAAAGAAGGAUAGAUCUCAGUGACAGCCAGAAUUAAUGAGGUGUGACUAACCAGGAGGGCACCUGUAACCUUUACUUGUUCAAAGAAAUCUGUAUCUAACAUGCAUUUAUUCAGACUCCUAAUUAUCUCCUUAAUAAAACUACUAGAAGUGAUGAAUGAAUGAUUUUUUUUUCUUAAUAUUUAAAAAAGAGAUUAUUUUUCGUUUAGGUCAGACUAGUUGGAGGUUGGUUUACAAUUAAAAAUGAGUGAUCAUUUGCUUUAAAAUGUGUUUUUGCUGUAUCUUAAAUGUCCUGAAUACAUAUCGGG